GUGAACUUAAAACAGAGACCGAGACCGCCUCUGACCAUCGAGAGACACCUCUGCUGAAGCGCUCAGCGUUCUGCACCGCCUCUGUCAGCGCAGACCCCAGGCACAGCACCCGGCCCCUCAGGGUGAGGGAGGCCGCAGGUACUGGGGUAACAGCACUCAGUGCCAGCAAAAAGCUCUCAGGAGUGGCACACCAGUUUCAAACACGAGCACGUGGGAAUAACUCCAGUUAACACCUGGACACCAAAACCCUCAAUCCAUUCCAGAAAUUCCAGUUCUGGGGUGAGCAGCAACACUAAAGAGUUUAUGCCACGUGAUAGUUUUUCCUUUCACAUCCUGCAAAAAAGACAUGCAAGAUCUAUAAUGCUUUGUACCAUCUUUAAGUAGCAAGAAACAAGAUGCCAAUUCAUCCUUUUAGGAAGGAAGAUGAAGACACUGAUAAUUCCAUCUCUUAGAAACAGAGCUUCCAAAAUGUAUUUUGUGAUCCAGAAGAUAUGAACUUAAUUUUAAGAUGAACGAGUGCUAAACAUGCCUGCAUGUCGACACAGGCCAACUUCCACAUAUAUGUGGAAUCCCAGAACUAUCACAGAAGUUCUCGGUGAUCUCCACUUCCAUUUCUUUCCAGGAAGAAAAACCAAAACAAACCAAAUAUCCUUUUACUUUACCCAAGC
This is a long non-coding RNA of Pezoporus occidentalis (night parrot), 668 nucleotides long. RefSeq lists it as uncharacterized. Lineage: Eukaryota; Metazoa; Chordata; Aves; Psittaciformes; Psittacidae. The transcript has 4 exons. The record is from RefSeq and is a predicted model, not a curated record.